Folsomia candida is the source of this 1146-nucleotide long non-coding RNA. RefSeq lists it as uncharacterized. The record is from RefSeq and is a predicted model, not a curated record. Lineage: Eukaryota; Metazoa; Arthropoda; Collembola; Entomobryomorpha; Isotomidae. The transcript is spliced from 4 exons.
AAACUGUACAAUUAGUACCUCUUCCUUAAUUGCCAUUGGAGGCGAACCGUGCUUCGUGCGAAGUUCGUUAUGAACUUGAAGGCAUUCUUCAAUAUAUUCUCGUGGGGUGGUCACGCGAGCCUGGAAAAAAAAAUUGCAAACCUUUGGAACGUCUUCGCUAGUGGGAUUUCCCAUGAUGAAUUUUUACCCCAAAAUAUUUCCAAGUUUUUGAUUUCUUCUAACUUCUGCUCCGUCUGGAUGUCCACACCUCCUUAGCCCACGCUUUAAAUAGUCUCCAGGAUCCAUACCAAUUUUUUGUAUCGCAUCAACAUCAACAUUGUAUAUAUACCAUAAAAUUAGAGCAAAAUAUAAAUACGACCUUAAUUUUUACUCAUAUCUACACCUUUAACACAUUUAAUUUUGUGUUUAAACCUCUCCAAUAAAAAAUUAUGAUCCACAUUAUUCUGUCAUGUUUAUGAAAUUGAUGUGCAAUAUCAUCAAUUUUUGGGUACAGAUUUCUACCCAAAAGUGGAAGAAAAUGGGAAAGAUUUAAUGGUAUUAAGUAAGCCAAGCGAUAGUUGAAGUCAAGUCGAGUUGACGACCCUGUAAUUAACUUAAUUAAGCUGCUUGGCUCCUGCUGGGAGCAUAUAAAUCACUAAUUGUUUCGUCUCUCGUAUAGGAUCAACUUGUCGAGUGUGCAUUGGUCAAGUUUAAUUAUGGACAUGGUUACUGAUCCCUCCAGUCCUCCUUUUCUGAUUUAUUUAUGACGGUGAUGGAUGGACGGAUGAAUUCAUGGACUGGACAUUUCCUCCUCGUCCAUCCUGGCAUUCGAUGUAAAAAAUACUCCUCCCCCUCGGGCGAUCCAAGUGGCUUCAGUCUGGCCCAGUUAAGUUUGGCAUAUUUUGCAAAAUACAAAAAAUGCAGGAAUCUCAUUUUCUUUUUUAAAUAAAAAACCUCUGCCUAAUAAUUAUAAGCAAACCUUUAUGGAUUUGUAUUCGAGUUUGCUGCGUUUGAUGUCCAAAGCUGAAAAACAGUACUUGUACUGACGCUUGUUCGACACCCUUAAUAAAAACUUAAUCAAUCAAUCAAUCAAUCAUUACAGAUUAAAAAAAUAUCACUAAAAAACGAAAUUAUGUAACAUUAACAAAAUAAAUCUCUUACGACAUA